Molecule: transfer RNA, 73 nt
Filed under: Pirellulales bacterium
Lineage: Bacteria; Pseudomonadati; Planctomycetota; Planctomycetia; Pirellulales
Description: tRNA-Ala
Rfam family: tRNA
About the family: Transfer RNA (tRNA) molecules are approximately 80 nucleotides in length. Their secondary structure includes four short double-helical elements and three loops (D, anti-codon, and T loops). Further hydrogen bonds mediate the characteristic L-shaped molecular structure. tRNAs have two regions of fundamental functional importance: the anti-codon, which is responsible for specific mRNA codon recognition, and the 3' end, to which the tRNAs corresponding amino acid is attached (by aminoacyl-tRNA synthetases). tRNAs cope with the degeneracy of the genetic code in two manners: having more than one tRNA (with a specific anti-codon) for a particular amino acid; and 'wobble' base-pairing, i.e. permitting non-standard base-pairing at the 3rd anti-codon position.
Source: RNAcentral
GGGCGCGUAGCUCAAUUGGGAGAGCACCGGCUUUGCAAGCCGGGGGUCGAGGGUUCGAAUCCCUUCGCGUCCA